GUGUUGUAUGAAAGAAGAAAAGGUUAGCAUUCCCUUUGACAAAGAUGAAAGAGGUUCUCAGGCCUGACAACAUGCAUAUGGGUAAGGUAUUGUCACCUCCUAAGUGGCAUCCAACCAUCAUUUUUG
This 126-nucleotide non-coding RNA is filed under the name Carlito syrichta (Philippine tarsier). Lineage: Eukaryota; Metazoa; Chordata; Mammalia; Primates; Tarsiidae. The record is from RNAcentral.